AGAGUUUGAUCCUGGCUCAGAUUGAACGCUGGCGGCGUGCCUUACACAUGCAAGUCGAACGGCAGCGCGGGGCAACCUGGCGGCGAGUGGCGAACGGGUGAGUAAUAUAUCGGAACGUACCCUGGAGUGGGGGAUAACGUAGCGAAAGUUACGCUAAUACCGCAUACGAUCUAAGGAUGAAAGUGGGGGAUCGCAAGACCUCAUGCUCCUGGAGCGGCCGAUAUCUGAUUAGCUAGUUGGCGGGGUAAAAGCCCACCAAGGCAACGAUCAGUAGCUGGUCUGAGAGGACGACCAGCCACACUGGAACUGAGACACGGUCCAGACUCCUACGGGAGGCAGCAGUGGGGAAUUUUGGACAAUGGGCGCAAGCCUGAUCGCAGCAAUGCCGCGUGAGUGAAGAAGGCCUUCGGG
This 411-nucleotide ribosomal RNA is filed under the name uncultured bacterium. RNAcentral describes it as "bacterial SSU rRNA". It matches the Rfam family "Bacterial small subunit ribosomal RNA", at positions 8 to 422 of the family's 1533-position model. The record is from RNAcentral.